UAGCAAGUUUUCAAGCAAGCAUUUUUUAAGAAGGAGAAUUUCAAGCAGGAGCACUUUUAAAUAAAUCUUUUAUCGUUCUUUUGAGGUUCAUUGCAAGGAAUUUAACUCCAAGUGAGUUAAUAUUAUCAUACGGAGUAAGAAGCAUACGAGGUUGAGCUGUGAUGGAGUGGAGGGUGCUAAUUAAACCAGACCUACUUCUAUUUCCAUUCAAUACUCUCGGAGGUCCGUGUCUUCAUACAUGGAACCGCGUUCAGUUCCUUCCGCUUUGCAUUGAAACAAG
Non-coding RNA from Salvia hispanica, 280 nucleotides. NCBI's taxonomy places the organism in Eukaryota, Viridiplantae, Streptophyta, Magnoliopsida, Lamiales, Lamiaceae. The record is from RefSeq and is a predicted model, not a curated record.